AUGGUCCAAGCUAAUGACCGAAUCUUGGGAAAAGUAUGCAUCACAAGACGAUACUCCUAUAUUGCAGCUGGGGACUUGUGGUGGAACUGGAAUAAGAGAGAAGUUGCUCUGUCUCAUAUCCAUCUGCCAUUUCUGACCAACAUGAUUAAGCUUGCAGUCCUCAUCCGAGGAACUGCACUGCUCCUUUGUCUAUUGAUAUUCCAAGCAGCAUCCGCUUCCCAUGGUCAAGCGACUGCAUCAGGAGCCUGCAUCGGCGGCGAGCGAGAUGCGCUUCUGUCCUUCAAGGCAAGCCUCUUGGACCCUGAUGGUCGCCUGUCAUCAUGGCAGGGCGACGACUGCUGUCGAUGGAAGGGAGUCCGUUGCAGCAACAGAACUGGCCAUAUCAUCAAGGUCAGCCUCCGCAGCAUCGACAUGUAUGGCUACGUGAGCAGUUUAUUCAGCUUGUCGGCAGGGGAGAUGAACUUUUCUUUGGCUACUUUACAACACCUGAGGUAUCUUGAUCUGAGCUGGAAUUACUUCAACGGCACAAGCAACCCUGUGUUCUUGGCUUCUCUCAAGAACCUAAGGUAUCUCAAACUCUCGUAUGGAUUCACUGAAAGAAUACCUUCCCAACUUGGCAAUCUCUCAAAGUUGCAAUAUCUAGAUGUCAGUGGGAAUUCUUUUCAUUCGGAUAGUUACUCAGUGAAUCUUGCAUGGUUGCCACGUCUUUCUUCUUUGGUCCAUCUCGACAUGAGCGGUGUUGAUCUUAGUUCUGCCGAGGAUUGGCUUGAGACGGUGAACAUGCUUCCUUCUCUUAAAGUGCUUCGCUUGAGCUUCUGUGAACUCAAUCUUCCCGUAUCUGCUAGCAUGUCACAUUCCAACCUCACACAUGUCGAGAUACUUGAUUUGUCUUAUAACAAAUUCUAUACUAAUUCACUCAAGCACGCAUGGUUUUGGAAUCUCAUAAGCCUCAAGGAACUUUACCUCCAAGAUUCCGGCUUGGAAGGGGCCAUUCCUAGUAACUUGGCAAACAUGACGUCCCUUCAAGUCAUAGACUUCAGUGGGAACAACCUUGUGGGUCUGAUACCAAACAAAUUAGAUAAUCUGUGCAAUUUGACAAUAAUGAGGUUUAGCGGUAUCAACACUGGUUCGAGCAUAGGGGAGUUCAUGGAGCGAUUGCCAAAGUGUGCAUGGCAUACAUUGCAAGAAUUGUCAGUGCAGGGUGCAAAUAUGACCGAGAAUCUACCCAUUUGGAUUGGGAACUUGACAGGUCUCGCCGUUCUUCAAGCAUCUCAAAACAUGUUAACUGGCCCUCUACCUGUAGGAGUUGGAGCACUCCGUAAUUUAAAAAUGUUGGACCUCAGUUAUAAUAAAUUUAGCAGUGUGCUCACAGAGGAGCAUUUUGCGGGCCUACUGAAUUUAGAGUAUCUGGACUUGUCAUACAACUCUUUGAGAUUAGCUAUCAAACACAAAUGGGUUCCUCCAUUUAGAUUGAAGGUUGCAGGUUUCGGUUCAUGCCAACUGGGCCCCAGUUUUCCAGAGUGGCUUAGAUGGCAAUCUGACAUUGAUGUUCUUGUUCUCAGUAAUGCAAAUCUAGAUGAUGUUAUUCCUGAUUGGUUUUGGGUGACAUUUUCCCGAGCUUCAUUCUUGCAAGCAUCAGGAAAAAAAUUGCAUGGCUCAUUACCGGGAGAUCUACAACACAUGUCAGCUGACCACAUAUAUCUUGGGUCCAAUAAGUUUACGGGCCAAGUACCACAUUUACCUAUAAAUAUAUCAAGACUAAACCUAUCUUCAAACUAUUUCACUGGGUCAUUGCCAUCAGAGCUGAAUGCCCCACUACUCGGAGAGUUGUUGCUUGCAAAUAAUCAACUUACAGGCACCAUCCCGUCAUCUAUAUGCCAAUUGACUAAACUGAAUAGGUUGGACCUAUCAGGAAACCAUUUAACAGGAGAUAUUAUGCAGUGUUGGAAGGAAUCUGAUGCAAACUCUAUGAAUCAAUUUGGUUUUGACAUGCUAAGCUUAGCCCUGAAUAACAACGGUCUCACUGGUGAAUUCCCUAAAUUUCUUCAAAGGUCGUCAAGGUUAAUGUUCCUUGAUCUUUCUUACAAUUGGUUAUUUGGAGGAUUGCCUGAAUGGUUGCCAGAAAAAAUGCCACAUCUGAAAAUAUUAAGACUGCGAUCAAAUAUGUUCAGCGGCCAUAUUCCUAAGAAUCUCACUUCCCUGGACAGUCUUCAUUAUUUGGACAUAGCACACAACAAGAUAACAGGAAGCAUACCAUGGUCUUUGUCAAACCUGAAGGCAAUGAUGACAGUGGUGUCGCAGGACACGGAGUAUUACAAUUUUGAAGAUAGCAUCCCAGUAUACACAAAGGACCAAAAGCGUAACUAUACCUUUGUAAUCUACAAAUUGCUAGUGAUUCUUGAUUUGUCAAGUAAUAUUUUGACAGGACAUGUUCCGGAGGAGACAACUCUACUCAUUGGGCUUAACAAUCUGAACUUGUCAAAUAAUCAACUCACAGGAGCAAUCCCAAACCAAAUUGGUGAUUUAAGGCAGUUGGACUCACUCGACCUAUCCUUCAAUGAGUUUUCUGGUGCAAUACCAUCAAGUUUGUCAGCUUUAACUUAUUUGAGCCACUUGAACUUGUCAUACAACAAUCUGUCCGGUGCAAUACCACCCGGACAACAGCUACAAACUCUUGGCAACCAGAUGUACAUCUACAUCGGUAACCCUGGUCUUUGUGGAGAUCCGGUUGGCAGGAACUGCUCAACACAUCAUGCAGAGCAAAGUGGCCUUGAAGAUCUAGAGCAUAUGCCAUCUGUCUAUCUUGCCAUGAGCAUUGGAUUUGUGGUGGGUCUGUGGACAGUUUUCUGCACCAUGUUGAUGAAGAGAACAUGGAGGGCUGCCUUCUUCCAGUUUGUUGAUAUGAUGUAUGACAUGGUUUAUGUGCAAGUGGCUGUAAGGUGGGCUCACAUGAUGGAGAAAACUCAAGACGGUGCACCAUGA
RNAcentral lists this ribosomal RNA (2982 nucleotides) under Triticum aestivum (bread wheat). RNAcentral's name for it is "partial small subunit ribosomal RNA". Lineage: Eukaryota; Viridiplantae; Streptophyta; Magnoliopsida; Poales; Poaceae. The record is from RNAcentral.